RNAcentral lists this ribosomal RNA (930 nucleotides) under Carnobacterium sp. EGY-BM1. Its description in RNAcentral is "bacterial SSU rRNA". It matches the Rfam family "Bacterial small subunit ribosomal RNA", at positions 1 to 886 of the family's 1533-position model. Lineage: Bacteria; Bacillati; Bacillota; Bacilli; Lactobacillales; Carnobacteriaceae. The record is from RNAcentral.
UGCCUUCUUGUUGGGUUUUUUAGAUUUUUUGACUCUGCUCAGGACGAACGCUGGCGUCAUGCUUAAUACAUGCCAGUCGAACGCUUUUGUUUCACCGGGUGCUUGCACCCACCGAGACAAAAGAGUGGCGGACGGGUGAGUAACACGUGGGUAACCUGCCCAUAAGAGGGGGAUAACAUCCGGAAACGGAUGCUAAUACCGCAUAUUUCCAAUUGUCUCCUGACAGAUGGAAAAAAGGUGGCUUCGGCUACCGCUUAUGGAUGGACCCGCGGCGUAUUAGCUAGUUGGUGAGGUAAUGGCUCACCAAGGCGAUGAUACGUAGCCGACCUGAGAGGGUGAUCGGCCACACUGGGACUGAGACACGGCCCAGACUCCUACGGGAGGCAGCAGUAGGGAAUCUUCCGCAAUGGACGAAAGUCUGACGGAGCAAUGCCGCGUGAGUGAAGAAGGUUUUCGGAUCGUAAAACUCUGUUGUUAGAGAAGAACAAGGAUGAGAGUAACUGCUCAUCCCCUGACGGUAUCUAACCAGAAAGCCACGGCUAACUACGUGCCAGCAGCCGCGGUAAUACGUAGGUGGCAAGCGUUGUCCGGAUUUAUUGGGCGUAAAGCGAGCGCAGGCGGUUCUUUAAGUCUGAUGUGAAAGCCCCCGGCUCAACCGGGGAGGGUCAUUGGAAACUGGAGAACUUGAGUGCAGAAGAGGAGAGUGGAAUUCCACGUGUAGCGGUGAAAUGCGUAGAUAUGUGGAGGAACACCAGUGGCGAAGGCGACUCUCUGGUCUGUAACUGACGCUGAGGCUCGAAAGCGUGGGGAGCAAACAGGAUUAGAUACCCUGGUAGUCCACGCCGUAAACGAUGAGUGCUAAGUGUUGGAGGGUUUCCGCCCUUCAGUGCUGCAGCUAACGCAUUAAGCACUCCGCUGGAUCUCGACUGG